AACGCACAUUGCACCUUCUGGCAUUCUGGGAGGUAUGCCUGUUCGAGCGUCAUUACAACCAUCAAGCAUAAGCUUGGUAUUGGAUGCCACCGCUUUUGGUGCAUCUCAAAAUCAGUGGCAGGCACCACUCAGCUCCAAGCGUAGUAAAUUUCUCGCUCCUGGAGUUGUGUUUGUACCUGCUAGAGCCCCUAAUUUAUCAAGGUUUGACCUCGGAUCAGGUAGGGAUACCCGCUGAACUUAA
RNAcentral lists this unclassified non-coding RNA (241 nucleotides) under uncultured fungus. RNAcentral's name for it is "sequence contains ITS2". The record is from RNAcentral. Lineage: Eukaryota; Fungi.